GUCCUUGUCGAUUAGUGGUUAAAUCAUCUCGUUGUGGCAUUCAAAAGCGGGCUCCGAGAAGCCGGAAGUUCGAAUCCUCCCUGGGACA
This is a non-coding RNA of Sphagnurus paluster, 88 nucleotides long. NCBI's taxonomy places the organism in Eukaryota, Fungi, Basidiomycota, Agaricomycetes, Agaricales, Lyophyllaceae. The record is from the annotation of a GenBank genome assembly.